This 923-nucleotide ribosomal RNA is filed under the name uncultured archaeon. RNAcentral describes it as "bacterial SSU rRNA". It matches the Rfam family "Archaeal small subunit ribosomal RNA", at positions 1 to 942 of the family's 1478-position model. The record is from RNAcentral.
UCUGGUUAAUCCUGCCAGAGGUUACUGCUAUCGAGGUUCGACUAAGCCAUGCGAGUCGAAUGUAGCAAUACAUGGCGAACUGCUCAGUAACACGUGGACAACCUGCCCUUAGGUUGGGUAUAAACCCGGGAAACUGGGUAUAAUACCCGAUAGGUCUCGAUUGCUGGAAUGCAUCGAGAUUUAAAGCUCCGGCGCCUAAGGAUGGGUCUGCGGCCUAUCAGGUAGUAGUGGGUGUAGCGUACCUACUAGCCUACGACGGGUACGGGUUGUGAGAGCAAGAGCCCGGAGAUGGAUUCUGAGACACGAAUCCAGGCCCUACGGGGUGCAGCAGGCGCGAAAACUUUACAAUGCUGGCAACAGCGAUAAGGGAACCUCGAGUGCCAGGUUACAAAUCUGGCUGUCGAGAUGCCUAAAAAGCAUUUCAUAGCAAGGGCCGGGCAAGACCGGUGCCAGCCGCCGCGGUAACACCGGCGGCUCGAGUGGUAACCGUUAUUAUUGGGUCUAAAGGGUCUGUAGCCGGCCGGAUAAGUCUCUUGAGAAAUCUGGCAGCUUAACUGUCAGGCUUUCAGGAGAUACUGUCUGGCUCGAGGCCGGGAGAGGUGAGAGGUACUUCAGGGGUAGGGGUGAAAUCUUGUAAUCCUUGAAGGACCACCAGUGGCGAAGGCGUCUCACCAGAACGGACCUGACGGCAAGGGACGAAAGCUAGGGGCACGAACCGGAUUAGAUACCCGGGUAGUCCUAGCCGUAAACGAUACUCGCUAGGUGUCGGCCACGGUGCGACCGUUGUCGGUGCCGUAGGGAAGCCGUGAAGCGAGCCACCUGGGAAGUACGGCCGCAAGGCUGAAACUUAAGGAAUUGGCGGGGAGCACACAACGGGUGAGCUGCGUUUAUGAUUCACGCGGAGACUGUCUGCAGCGCGCCAU